RNAcentral lists this unclassified non-coding RNA (336 nucleotides) under soil metagenome. RNAcentral's name for it is "partial contains 5.8S ribosomal RNA, internal transcribed spacer 2, and large subunit ribosomal RNA". The stretch from base 1 to 120 matches the Rfam family "5.8S ribosomal RNA", at positions 35 to 154 of the family's 154-position model. The record is from RNAcentral.
GAUGAAGAACGUAGCGAAAUGCGAUAAGUAAUGUGAAUUGCAGAAUUCAGUGAAUCAUCGAAUCUUUGAACGCACAUUGCGCCCGCCAGUAUUCUGGCGGGCAUGCCUGUUCGAGCGUCAUUUCAACCAUCAAGCCCCAGGCUUGUGUUGGGGACCUGCGGCUGCCGCAGGCCCUGAAAACCAGUGGCGGGCUCGCUGUCACACCGGGCGUAGUAGAUUUUAUCUCGCUCAGGGCGUGCUGUGGGUUCCGGCCGUUAAAAAGCCUUUUUUACCCAAGGUUGACCUCGGAUCAGGUAGGAAUACCCGCUGAACUUAAGCAUAUCAAUAAGCGGAGGA